Molecule: long non-coding RNA, 1979 nt
Organism: Gallus gallus (chicken)
Lineage: Eukaryota; Metazoa; Chordata; Aves; Galliformes; Phasianidae
Exons: 2
Source: RefSeq, a predicted model, not a curated record
CUAAGAAUCCUGUUAAGACUGGAGGGGGAACAAAUAGCCACAUGGUAAGAAAUGACGAAGCUGGGGGAGAUGACUCAGGAACUCCAGCAAUUUGCUAGCUGUAGUAGAAGCCUGACCAAUCUGUGGUAGGAGUUAGGCACCUGAGAGUGCCCUCAGCUGCUCCCAAGGGCCAGCAGUGGCAGUAGCACACAGAUGUGAUGAAAAGCCCACCUCUGCUCUUUGCUGCUUGGGUAGUGAGCCCUGCAUGGAGAGGGUUCCUGCCAGCCAUGGGCCGACCCCGUCUGGCACAGCAGAGGUGAAACUGUUUUCUGAAGAACAAAUGCCCACUCAUGAUGUGCUACCACAGGGAUGUUAAGCCAAGAGGUAUGAAAGCAAACAAGAUUAGACCUCUAAGUCCGGGGCAUCCUUCCCAGGAAAGGCUAGACCAUUUAUGCCAAUCUGUCAUCCUCUCAAACUGCACUCAUCCAUCUUCCCUUCAAAGAUGAAGAAGUGGCAACAUCUUCUCUAACUGGGGACGUCUUAUGUGGCCAGAAUUUCAAACAAAGUCCUAACUGAACAACAGUGACAACAGGGAGAUCAAUGGCAAUGUCAAUAUACAUUAUCAAAGGGACUGCUGUGAACCAUCUUGGCAUACUCUGAGUGGCCGCGUUGCAUCCUGUACAGCAUUACAAAAACAAACAGAAGAAAAAGAAAGAGAAAAAAAAAAAAGAACAAACCACCCAUUUUUAUGUUCUUUAAUUUGCAUUUUCUGCAUGAAAUAAGACCUUGAUCCUUGUCUUUUUUCACAAAAGCAGGUUCUGCUUUAACUAAUGUAAAAAAAAAAAAAAAAAAAAAAAGGAAAGAAAAUAAUGUUUCUAUAGCAAAGUGAUUUAGAUGUAGAAAUUUUUGUAAAAAAAAAAAAAAAACGGGGGGAGGAGAAAAAAAAAGGGGGGGGGAAACAACAAAGAAAUAAAAUAAAAUGACCUAAAGAGCCAUCUUUGUCUACUCUAGAGGUGGGAAGGUGUGAUUGGUGGGUGGCAGUCUCUGCUCUCAUAGCCGUCCUGUGCCAGAUGGAGAGGAGCUGAAGCCCAUUCUGUGCCAUGGGAUGGCUCCCUGGACAAGCGUGCUCACCAAUUACAGCUGGGUGCUUUCAAAAACUGUCUCCUUCCGUCUUCUUGUAGGUAGAGUGGGCAGGAGGGCAGGGGGAAGGAUGGGCAGGGCCAAGGGGAGUUGCCUUGCUUUCAUUCUGGGGUUUAGUUUGGGGUAUUUCUGUUCCUGCAGUGACAGUUUUUGAAAGGCAAUGAUGAACAAAAGUAAAAACAAACUUGAAAACAGUUUACAAUUUUGUACAAACCAUUAUAAAUAUUAACAACAAAUGUUUUUUAAAAUGCUCCAUACCAGUGCCAAAAUAAUGUAAUCUGUACAUUGCUUUCUUCUCUUUUUUCUUUCUUUUUUCUUUUUUUCUUUUUUUUCUUUUUCUUUUUUUGGAGAAAAAAAAAGUGUUAAAACACUAAAAAUAUUUCUUUAAAAAAAAACCAACAAAUGUAUGUGGACAUAAAUGUACUUGAAAGUUGUUAAUUAUCAAAUGGUUAGGAAUCGUUCUUGACCUUUUGGGUUUGCUUUCUUUUUUCCUACCCUGAACAAAAGUAACAUACAACAAAUACAACCUUUAAAGGAGAAUCUUUUAUCUGCUGGUUUGAAUACAAGAGGUUUCCAUUUUUAAGGCACUGUCUUUAGGACAAAUCCAUGUUAAUGAGCUAUGAAAAAACAGAUGAAGUUACCCUCCAGAGCACUCAAACUUGUCCUGAACUUCACAACAGAACUCCUGUUAUGUCAUUUAAAUGUGUGUCCAAAGGACAUUGCCUCAACUUAAGCAAAGUUUUCUACGUAUCAAAGUAUCCUGCUCAGUUGUACCAAGAGUUGGAUGCACACAAGCUCUAUGCUAUUGCCCAGAGCAAUGGGGGAAAACAGAAUAAAUCCUGAGUCUUAUUUUUUUGCUA